GGUUCAGGAUGAACGCUAGCGACAGGCCUAACACAUGCAAGUCGAGGGGCAGCGCGGGAGAAGCUUGCUUUCCUGGCGGCGACCGGCGCACGGGUGCGUAACAGGUGUGCAAUCUGUCCAUAGUCGGGGGAUAGCCCAGCGAAAGCUGAAUUAAUACUCCAUGUGAAUCGAAGCCGCAUGACUUUGAUUUGAAACGCAAGGACUAUGGGUGAGCACGCUUCUGAUUAGCUAGUUGGUGGGGUAACGGCUCACCAAGGCGACGAUCAGUAGGGGUUCUGAGAGGAAGGUCCCCCACAUUGGAACUGAGACACGGUCCAAACUCCUACGGGAGGCAGCAGUGAGGAAUAUUGGUCAAUGGGCGAGAGCCUGAACCAGCCAAGUCGCGUGAAAGGAUGAAGGUUCUAUGGAUUGUAAACUUCUUUUGUCCGAGGGUAAAAAAGGCCACGUGUGGCUUCUUGCAAGUAUCGGACGAAUAAGCAUCGGCUAACUCCGUGCCAGCAGCGGC
RNAcentral lists this ribosomal RNA (505 nucleotides) under uncultured bacterium. RNAcentral's name for it is "bacterial SSU rRNA". It matches the Rfam family "Bacterial small subunit ribosomal RNA", at positions 21 to 518 of the family's 1533-position model. The record is from RNAcentral.